Molecule: long non-coding RNA, 931 nt
Organism: Gallus gallus (chicken)
Lineage: Eukaryota; Metazoa; Chordata; Aves; Galliformes; Phasianidae
Source: Ensembl
GGAAAAACAAAACAGAACACCAGUAUAUGUAUUUUAAUCAAAUAAUUAAGCAAGUGCAUAUGGACUCUUGGAAUCAGUAUCUUCAGACUUUGGUUUAAGCCCGAUUUGUAACUUUGAGCUUGCAACUACACAGAAUACAUAACUUGGAAAGACUGCUGUUUUCACUGUGGGGUACUGUUUAUCUCCAGGAAAGCAGAACAUUCAUCAUAGAAUCAGAAUACACUCUGGAUUUUCUUCCUGUGUGCAGACUACACCAAAUGAAGUCUUAAAUCCGCUUAUACCAACACCUUUCUACCCCAGACUUGAACACAGUACUCCAGAUGGGGACUCACAAGAGCAGUAGAGAGGGACAGUCAUCUUCCUCUCCCUGCUGGCCACCCCUCUUCUGAUGGAGCCCAGGAUACUAUUUGCUUUCCGAGCUGUAAGAGCACACUGCUGGCUCAUGUUAAGUUUUUCAUCCGCCAGGACCCCCAGGUCCUUCUCUGCAGGGCUACUCUCAAGGACUGCUCCUUCCAGUUUGUAUAAAUGCCUGGGAUUCCUCUGGGCCAAGUGCAAAACCUUGAACUUUUCUUUGUUGAACCUCAUGAAGCUCUCCCAGACCCACCUUUCAAGUUUGUUGAGGUCACUCUGAAUGGCAUCCCUUCCUUCCACUGUGUCAACUGUUCCACUCAGCCUGGUGUCAUCAGCAAACUUGCUGAGGGUGCACUCAAUUCCAUUGUUGAUGUCACUGAUAAAGAUGUUAAAGAGCACUGGUCCCAGGACAGACCCCUGAGGGAGACCACUUGUUACCAGCCUCCACCUGAGCAUAGAACCAUUGAUCACCACCCUCUGUCUGCGGCCUUUCAACCAAUUUCUUAUCCACUGGUUGGUCCACCCAUCAAAUCCAUAUCCCUCCAAUUUGGAGAUAAGGAUGUGGUGAGGGACCAUGUCC